Podarcis muralis (Common wall lizard) is the source of this 348-nucleotide long non-coding RNA. RefSeq lists it as uncharacterized. NCBI's taxonomy places the organism in Eukaryota, Metazoa, Chordata, Lepidosauria, Squamata, Lacertidae. The record is from RefSeq and is a predicted model, not a curated record.
CAGGAGAGGUGAGAUACCCAGGCUCCACGAUUCUUAUAUUUUCACCACAUUUAUCUGCGAUUAAGAAAACACAUUUCAUGUUCAGCUAAAAGAAGGUGUGGAGGUGAAAGCUCCAGUUCUCGUUCCAGAGUGGAAGUUAGAUUCGGGAGGACUGGAGAAGAGAGAAGCAAAUAGGUUCCAAUGGAGAAACAGCACAAGGAACACCAGUUGGGUCUGUCCAAUAUACACGACAAAGUGUUAUGUCUGAUUUCUAUGGAAUCCAAGGCUGUGGCUAUGGGAGAAGCAAGAUCCUCUUGGAGUGUUAAUGCUGUGAACCCCUCCAUCAUAGGCUCGGAUUCUGAAGGAAAC